UCAUCUAUGGCCAUGGAUUGAUCCAUCCUUCAAAUGGAGACGGAGUUGGUGGAUAAUGAGGAAACUUGCAACAAAAAUCGUCGGCAGAAAUUGGAGGAUAAACAAAGUGUCACGGAUGUGAAUGGAACCAUCGAUAAUGAUGAAACCAUGAAUACCACCCACUCAGUCCCUUAUCAGCUUUGCUAGUAGCACUUUCAGCAUUUGAGAAUGAAUCAAAUUGUUCAAUUGCAAAACAUAAGUUGACAAGUAGGAAAAUAAAAAUGAGAAAAGGAACAACGCAAUUUUUCUUGGGCAUGGUUGAUAGUGGUUAAGUUCUUAAAACUUUU
Molecule: long non-coding RNA, 326 nt
Filed under: Capsicum annuum
Lineage: Eukaryota; Viridiplantae; Streptophyta; Magnoliopsida; Solanales; Solanaceae
Description: long non-coding RNA (CANN_LNC003110)
Source: RNAcentral